UGGGGUAUAGCCAAACGGUAAGGCAGCGGACUCUGACUCCGCCAUGUGUUGGUUCGAAUCCAGCUACCCCAGCCA
Molecule: transfer RNA, 75 nt
Filed under: Syntrophomonadaceae bacterium
Lineage: Bacteria; Bacillati; Bacillota; Clostridia; Eubacteriales; Syntrophomonadaceae
Also listed under: 1 other name
Description: tRNA-Gln
Rfam family: tRNA
About the family: Transfer RNA (tRNA) molecules are approximately 80 nucleotides in length. Their secondary structure includes four short double-helical elements and three loops (D, anti-codon, and T loops).
Source: RNAcentral